This 253-nucleotide ribosomal RNA is filed under the name uncultured bacterium. Its description in RNAcentral is "partial 16S ribosomal RNA". It matches the Rfam family "Bacterial small subunit ribosomal RNA", at positions 524 to 776 of the family's 1533-position model. The record is from RNAcentral.
UACGAAGGGGGCUAGCGUUGCUCGGAAUCACUGGGCGUAAAGAGCUCGUAGGUGGUUUGUCGCGUUGUUCGUGAAAUCUCACGGCUUAACUGUGAGCGUGCGGGCGAUACGGGCAGACUAGAGUACUGCAGGGGAGACUGGAAUUCCUGGUGUAGCGGUGGAAUGCGCAGAUAUCAGGAGGAACACCGGUGGCGAAGGCGGGUCUCUGGGCAGUAACUGACGCUGAGGAGCGAAAGCGUGGGGAGCGAACAGG